RNAcentral lists this ribosomal RNA (308 nucleotides) under Dendrotrophe varians. RNAcentral's name for it is "eukaryotic LSU rRNA". The stretch from base 1 to 72 matches the Rfam family "5.8S ribosomal RNA", at positions 85 to 154 of the family's 154-position model. The record is from RNAcentral. Lineage: Eukaryota; Viridiplantae; Streptophyta; Magnoliopsida; Santalales; Amphorogynaceae.
UGAACCAUCGAGUCUUUGAACGCAAGUUGCGCCCGAAACCAUUAGGUCGAGGGCACGCCUGCCUGGGCGUCACGCAUCGAGUCGCCCCCCGGACUCCCCUCUCGGGGACGGGUCGGGGGCGCGAACGCUGGCCUCCCGUGCGCGACUAUUGCGCGGCUGGCCUAAACUUUACGGUUUCCUCGGCGACGCGUCGCGGGACGAGUUCUGGACGACUGCGUCCGACUCCGUGUCGCCGUGCGAAACUCCCAGGACCCUCGAAUUUCGUCUCCUUCUCGGGGGAGACGGGGCUCACCAAUGCGACCCCAGGU